Molecule: ribosomal RNA, 459 nt
Filed under: uncultured bacterium
Lineage: Bacteria
Description: partial 16S ribosomal RNA
Rfam family: Bacterial small subunit ribosomal RNA
Source: RNAcentral
CCUACGGGUGGCAGCAGUGAGGAAUAUUGGUCAAUGGGAGAGAUCCUGAACCAGCCAAGCCGCGUGAGGGAAGACGGCCCUAUGGGUUGUAAACCUCUUUUGUCGGAGAACAAAGCCCGGGACGUGUCCCGGGCUGCGUGUAUCCGAAGAAAAAGCAUCGGCUAACUCCGUGCCAGCAGCCGCGGUAAUACGGAGGAUGCGGGCGUUAUCCGGAUUUAUUGGGUUUAAAGGGUGCGUAGGCGGCCAGUAAAGCCAGCGGUAAAAUUGCGGGGAUCAACCCCGGCGGGCCGUUGAAACUGGCAGGCUUGAGUUGGCGAGAAGUACGCGGAAUGCGCGGUGUAGCGGUGAAAUGCAUAGAUAUCGCGCAGAACCCCGAUUGCGAAGGCAGCGUACUGGCGCCAGACUGACGCUGAGGCACGAAAGCGUGGGGAUCGAACAGGAUUAGAUACCCGGGUAGUC